GGUAUCUUGUUCUGUCUUCGGAUCUCCGGAUCAUUAAUUCAAUAAUCAUUGUUACAACUCGAAAAGUUCUUUAUGUUUUUCUAAUCACCCCAAUUCAACAUAAUUUCUUACUAUUUUAUUAUUCCUUAAAUAAAAUUAUAAAAUUUAUGUAAAGAUCUAUAGGGUCUUCUCGUCUAUUUAACCUAUCUCUGCUUUUUUACAGAAAUAUCAAAUUCCAAAAUUUAGUCUGAGACAGAAUUUAUUUCAUUAAAUCUUUCAUUCCAGCCUCCAAUCAAAAGGCUAUUGAUUAUGCUACCUUUGCACGGUCAAAAUACCGCGGCCCUUUAACAUUUGUCAGGGGGCAGACCUUACCUUUUAUAUAAAUCAAAAGGCA
This 373-nucleotide ribosomal RNA is filed under the name Labidura riparia. RNAcentral's name for it is "partial 16S ribosomal RNA". Lineage: Eukaryota; Metazoa; Arthropoda; Insecta; Dermaptera; Labiduridae. The record is from RNAcentral.